Molecule: long non-coding RNA, 1006 nt
Organism: Gallus gallus (chicken)
Lineage: Eukaryota; Metazoa; Chordata; Aves; Galliformes; Phasianidae
Source: Ensembl
CUCUCUGGUGAUCUCUGCAUGUCUGAUUUUUUUCUGAAGCAUACUUAUUCUGGUAUGAGGAUCAGGAUGUCUCCUUUAGAAAUCCAGCCAUAUGCCGGGGCAAAUUCUGUUCUUCCUAUUCCCAGUCUAAAGCCAGUCAAAAACAUCCAUUGGAUUGUAACACCUAAAAGACCCAAGAACCUUUGUGAAAACACAUACAGGUUUCCCUAUGGCAAACUCAUGUAGACAUAAAUGGUCUGCACAAGGCAACUUAGGGUUUUAACCAGAACUUGAGAAACUGGGCCUGAAUACAUCUGGCUCUCAGUAACACAUGUUCUGAGACUGUCCCUCAGUGAUAUCCAACUUUCUACAGUUUGGUAAAAUAAUACCACCUUUAUCACAUAUAAUCACUUUGUGCCAAGUCUCAAGUGGUCAUUUGAGCUUUUUCUGUAUAUAUGAAUGCCAGUGAAGUGUCCAUCAUUGAUGCAAGAGCAUAAACAUGUGAACAGCAAAAGAACAUGUAGGAGACUUAGCUUCUGAAUGCUGAUUUUUUUUUUUGUUUGUUUGCAAGCAACUUCAGCCAGAGGGAAAAAAACCCAAGAUAUUAGAGCUGUGCUCUGCAGUUCUCAAGAGCUGUUACUAUAAUAGCAGAUUUUCUGGGUUGUUCUUGUUAACCUAGUAGUUUGUGUUCUCUCAAAAUGCUUUUCUGCUUAUUUAUUUCUAUGUGAACUCUUUCUGCAAACUCAAUGUAUGGAAGCUAUAGAGCUCUCUUUGAGAGUGCUUUUUUAGCCAACUGUUUUCUGCUGCUAGUGCUAAUUACAUGAUGUGUAAUAUCAUAAGAAUUCCUUUAGAAAGCAGCAACAUGAAAUCAAGAUCUUUUCUGUUUCAAGGAAAUGCUGCUUUUAUUUUGUCAUAGAAAAGUGCUGUCCUUCAUCUUCUGAUCUCACUGAAACUGCAGUAAUAAGAACAGAUGCAUAAUGAGAAUGGUAAAUUGUUCACAUAGUCAUUAAUAAAACAGUUACGUUGU